UGAUGGCGAUUGGAUCAAGAGUUGGUCAAGGAUCGAAUUAAGGAGGCUUGGAACCAAUUCAAGAGUUGAAGACCAGUUGAUCGACUGACGUGCAUGUGCUUGUAAUAUGACCUAAUUAGAAUACAUGAUCAUCACCUAUUUAAAGUUUAGCUUUAAUUAUUGCUACGAUUAUAACUGCCUGCGAUGUAUCGUUUGCAUGUGAUGCAAAUGUGAGUGGGGUAGAUAGGUUUACAUGUGAUGCAAACUAAUAGACCAAUUCAAAUGAGACCUAAACUAAAACCUCCUCAAUCAAGUCGAGAGUGAACCAACAUGAGCGAGUCAUAUUAGAUUAAUAGAUCUAAUUGGUGGCUAGGAAAGCAUGAAAGGUGGUUACUUAAUUAGGACCUUACUCUCUGAGUAAGGGGAGCCUUCCACCUGCUUACCUGGCCAAUUGUUCAAUUACCUCUUAUGAAGAGCUCAAGUUGCAAACACUAAGACCUGAUUAACCGAUAUUAAGUCCAUAGGUCUUCCACCGUAGUAGAGCUGCUAAGGUCUUUCUGAUGUUGAUUUGUCUCGGCUGGACACAGUGGGCAAGUUG
Molecule: long non-coding RNA, 577 nt
Filed under: Phoenix dactylifera (date palm)
Lineage: Eukaryota; Viridiplantae; Streptophyta; Magnoliopsida; Arecales; Arecaceae
Description: long non-coding RNA (PDAC_LNC006149)
Source: RNAcentral